UUAUUCUAUUUUCUUAAGCUCUGUUAACAUGGUAUCAAGAGCCAUGGAUCGAUCCUGAGUUCUUCUGCUUCCGCUGUCUAUGCCUUGACAUUCUUUUCUGGAACUCCAUGGAAAUCGACGUCAAUAUCUGCUUCUUCCACAUCAUUUUGGAUUCUCAAUUUCGUUGAACUGAAUCAAGAUGGUUACCCCAGAAAUGUUGGGGUUCAUGAUAGAACUUAGGAAGGUUGUUACAGUGGCCAUUGUGGGAGCGUCUGACCUUUCUAAGAUAACAGAGUAGCUUGGGAAGACAGAGCUUGAGGACAUUUCUUGGAGAAGAGAAUCUGAAGGGGUACAUUUAUAGAGUUCCGAAGUGGGAUGCUUAAUGUAUCACCAAUUGGGCAAAACUGUAGCCAAGAAGAAAGGGAUGAAUUUGAAAGAUAUGACAAGGUUCAGAACAUACGCCCGAGAAUGGUAUCCGUCCUUCGCGAGAAGUUUGCUCACCUGAACCUGACAUUUUCCAUAGGAGGACAGAUAAGCUUUGAUUUACCACCAGCCCUGAAGAUACAAUCAAGCAGUGCAAAGCCCUCUUCGUUCCAACUUUUCGGUUUUGUAUUAUAUGCCAUUUUCCAAACAAGAAUAAGUUAUAUGCCAUUUGUAAUUCUGUAUUUGAGAAUAAAUGUUAAGCAGAAAUCUGAAAUGUGUAAUAUUAUUAUU
Prunus avium (sweet cherry) is the source of this 693-nucleotide non-coding RNA. The record is from RefSeq and is a predicted model, not a curated record. NCBI's taxonomy places the organism in Eukaryota, Viridiplantae, Streptophyta, Magnoliopsida, Rosales, Rosaceae.